Molecule: long non-coding RNA, 911 nt
Filed under: Nicotiana benthamiana
Lineage: Eukaryota; Viridiplantae; Streptophyta; Magnoliopsida; Solanales; Solanaceae
Description: long non-coding RNA (NBEN_LNC032615)
Source: RNAcentral
GAGUGCAAUCCCAAAAUUUGACGUGUUCCCUUAUAGGCCCAUAAAAGGGUCACUCUAUUGCCUUGUGAAGGGGUCCUUCUUUCAGCCAAAAAUUCCCCCUCACCAGCAUUUUCUCAAUUUCAAGAUCUGAAACUGGAAUUCAAACUCAAAAUAACCAAAAACAACAUGAAAAUUCAAAAUUAAAAAAAGGUAGUUACUGUUUCAUUGGCAUUUCCAGUUUGGUUUCAAGUUUCAUAGUUUCAAAUUUUGCUGUUUGAGAUGCCAAGGGUAUACACGACUAAUUUAGGGUGAAGAGAGAGGAUCCAAUCUAACUGGUCUUUGAUCGAGCUUGGGUUGUGUUAAAAGUAUGAUCGUUCUGGAUAAUUUUUAAGAGUUUUGGGUCUAUUAGGGAAUCGAGUCAAGUCUGGUAUGUCGUUUUGGUGAUUUCAACAUCUUCUAGGCUAUAGCUUGAUUCCAUGGGCUAUGUAUUAUUGUUGUUCGCAUAUAUGUUGGUUUGCUGUGGUAUUGCUGUUGCUGAUUUUCUUCUUCUAUUGCAAAUUCUAUUUCCAGGUACCAUUAUGAACUCGUUGUAAUGUAAUUUUCAGCUGGAAGGUGAAAUAAAUAAGUUUCAUCGAUUUUAUAUGUUAGUGAAUGCCUCAUGUUGAUUGCUAGAUUGUAAUUAAGUUUUGUUAUUGUUGUAUUGAUAUUGCAUAAGGCUAUACGAAUUUCAUUGUAGCUAUAAGGUUGUACAAUUAGGGCAUUGGUAGUUUGCUUGGAAUUGGUUAAGCUGGAAUCACUAGCGAAAAGAAAAGAGAUUUCAUUAUUGAGCCGAUCAUUUUUAGUUUACCCGAGUAAUGGAAUACAGUAUCAACAUAUUGUUCACCUAAUUGAUGUGCAGUAAUUUGGAUAACUUGAGUUGAAAACAAUUGGUC